Molecule: long non-coding RNA, 201 nt
Filed under: Mytilus galloprovincialis (Mediterranean mussel)
Lineage: Eukaryota; Metazoa; Mollusca; Bivalvia; Mytilida; Mytilidae
Source: RNAcentral
AGGCAAAAGUUUUGAAGAUGGUCACUGAUGAUCGUGCUACUCACUUCAAGACAGCAUCUAAGGAUCAUUUUAAGCAUGAUUUAAGAUAUUUUAAUGGUUAUUGCCUUCAUGGAAAUGCUACUCUAUGGGUAUAUAAAAGUCCUGUGUUUUGAUUUCUGGUAUUAAUUUAAGUUAAAUAAAUUAAUUUUGGUAAAAAGUGGG